CGGCUCAGGAUGAACGCUGGCGGCGUGCUUAACACAUGCAAGUCGAGCGAGAAAAGAUGGAAAGAGUCUUCGGAUGAAUGAAGUUCUGGAAAGCGGCGGACGGGUGAGUAACGCGUGGGCAACCUGGCCUAUACAAAGGGAUAGCCACUGGAAACGGUGAUUAAUACCAUAUGAAAUCAUAAAGUCGCAUGACUUAAUGAUCAAAGAUUUAUCGGUAUAGGAUGGGCCCGCGUCUGAUUAGCUAGUUGGUAUGGUAACGGCAUACCAAGGCGACGAUCAGUAGCCGACCUGAGAGGGUGAACGGCCACACUGGAACUGAGACACGGUCCAGACUCCUACGGGAGGCAGCAGUGGGGAAUAUUGCACAAUGGGCGAAAGCCUGUAGAGUUUGAUCCU
This 396-nucleotide ribosomal RNA is filed under the name uncultured bacterium. RNAcentral's name for it is "bacterial SSU rRNA". It matches the Rfam family "Bacterial small subunit ribosomal RNA", at positions 20 to 398 of the family's 1533-position model. The record is from RNAcentral.